UGGCGGACGGGUGAGUAACGCGUGGGGAACCUGCCGUAUACUGGGGGAUAACACUUAGAAAUAGGUGCUAAUACCGCAUAAGCGCACAGCUUCGCAUGAAGCGGUGUGAAAAACUCUGGUGGUAUACGAUGGUUCCGCGUCUGAUUAGCUAGUUGGUGGGGUAAUGGCCUACCAAGGCAACGAUCAGUAGCCGGCCUGAGAGGGUGAACGGCCACAUUGGGACUGAGACACGGCCCAAACUCCUACGGAAGGCAGCAG
This 258-nucleotide ribosomal RNA is filed under the name uncultured bacterium. RNAcentral describes it as "partial 16S ribosomal RNA". It matches the Rfam family "Bacterial small subunit ribosomal RNA", at positions 96 to 354 of the family's 1533-position model. The record is from RNAcentral.